UACGUAGGGUGCAAGCGUUAAUCGGAAUUACUGGGCGUAAAGCGUGCGCAGGCGGUUUUGUAAGUCUGUCGUGAAAUCCCCGGGCUCAACCUGGGAAUUGCGAUGCAGACUGCAAGGCUAGAAUCUGGCAGAGGGGGGUAGAAUUCCACGUGUAGCAGUGAAAUGCGUAGAGAUGUGGAGGAACACCGAUGGCGAAGGCAGCCCCCUGGGUCAAGAUUGACGCUCAUGCACGAAAGCGUGGGGAGCAAACAGG
Molecule: ribosomal RNA, 253 nt
Filed under: uncultured bacterium
Lineage: Bacteria
Description: partial 16S ribosomal RNA
Rfam family: Bacterial small subunit ribosomal RNA
Source: RNAcentral